This is a long non-coding RNA of Aquila chrysaetos chrysaetos, 905 nucleotides long. RefSeq lists it as uncharacterized. The record is from RefSeq and is a predicted model, not a curated record. The transcript is spliced from 2 exons. Lineage: Eukaryota; Metazoa; Chordata; Aves; Accipitriformes; Accipitridae.
UGGAUUAGGUUAAAAGGCCUUUGAGAUGCAUGCGUGCAUCGCAGUAUGUCUGCUAAUGCUGUCAAGCCUUUGAAAGAAGUGGUUGCAGUUAGAGGGCACAGGGACCAGGAGCUGGCGUUUAAGGCUCCCUGUCCCGUUGUGGAGCAGCAGAGAUCAGAAGCCAGCCCCGUGUCUGGGGCAUGUGAUCAAGCUAGGAACCAAGCAUGAAAGGUCUCUCUUAAGGCAAAGAAGGAGGAUGCUCUUCUUCACUGCCCUCCUUGUUUGAAGGAAGAACGGUUUUACUUAUUCAUUUAUUUAUUUAUUUCCAAUCCAGUGUUUAGUAUCAGCUUGAGGUUUGGGGCUUUUUCUGCCCCAGAAGUGAAUCUGCCCACUGGCUCACAGUAACCUAUUUAGCUUUAAUGAAACAGGUACUAUACAUUAAACGCGUGACAACUCAUUAUCGUCACUCCAGCUGGGAGAUCGCUGUGGAAACUUUGCCAUGAAUAUAAACUCAAAUUUAAAAAAGAAAUUGCUUUGGCUUUUUCUCUGCCCCUCUCAGUGCCCCUGGGAGACACGUGUGAUCACACUUGGCAUGACUGCUUCACACGGACUUUGUAAAGCGCCGAAGUGCAGGCAAACACUUGAAGGCACUCUCAAGCCAGAAGAUCUACUGAAGGCAGACCUGAUCAAUGACACAACUCAAACUAGAGAAAAUAGACACAGAUUUGGAUGGUUAAACCACGACACGGAGGGGCAAGAGGAGCAAGAAAGGAUAAAAAACAUUAGAUUCUAGACUUCCCACUGAAACAGCUUUGGAAACCUCAUUUACAGUGGAAACACCCCAAACCUCCCAGCAUACUCUGUAAUUCCAUGUAAGAUCUGAUCUCCGUUUUGAAAAGGUCAAUAAAUCUGUGUUUUUAAAACAA